Molecule: non-coding RNA, 2941 nt
Organism: Oncorhynchus mykiss (rainbow trout)
Lineage: Eukaryota; Metazoa; Chordata; Actinopteri; Salmoniformes; Salmonidae
Source: RefSeq, a predicted model, not a curated record
UAAGGAACAUACGAGCUCAGAGGGGAGCUGCCCAGCACAGUGGAGAAAGUUAGGAGGAUUGCGCGUCACUUUCGCAAAUAAGGGGGUUAGCGAUGACAAGCUACAGGGGAACGUGAAGGAAGAAAUCGAGAAAAGAGCCCAAAAAAAUAAACUGGAUUGCCGGAACAGUCCGGCAGAUAUGGCAGAUAUGGUGGAGAUGUAUGUGAGUUGGCACAGGGCUGUGAACAAGCCCUGACCGACGCACAACUGAAGCUGUUGAUCGAACUCUGUACUUGCCUUAAACUGGUGAAGAUGGGUGUGGAGUCACUGUGCCAGAUGGACUGCACCAUCAUCAAAGGUGCCAUCGAGGCCAGGUUCGUGGAGAGGAAGCAGAAGAACUUAAUGUCCUUCUUUAGGUACUGUACCUCCUGAAUCCCGGAGCGCUGAGGCGAGGGAGAGAACAAAAAACGAAACCAAUUUGCUGAAGAUCUUGUCUAAGGAAUUCUCCCUGCUCGAAGCAAACCAUCAACAGGUCAAAAUACAUCCAGCUCCUGUUUGAGAGAAUCGCUACAACCCAAGUCACCUCUGUGGAGGCCGUGAGAAUUAAGGCUCACGUUAUUCUACAUUUGUUUGUUUUUAUUUGUGGUCUUGAGAAUCAGUCAGCUACAGUUACAUUUAAUUUGAUUACGUUGUGUAGCCAGAAGGCUUAUGUUAAAUGUAUUUUAUGCUAUUGUGAUGUGGUUCUCUUGGCAGUGGAGGUUUCAGUGAGGAGGCAGCAAGAUGGUGACUGUGCAAUGCCCAAGGUGAGAUGUUUAUUUACAGUGAAGUAGGGAAAUAAGUCAUAGCAAAACAAUAAACAAGACAAUGGACAGACCGGAACAUAGACAAGAUACCUCUCUCAUCGUUGUAUCUGUAAAGACCUGCAGUGUCACUUUUAGUUUCUGGUCCAAGCUACGAGAUCGACCGCCCAAGUUCAAAUACAGUAUACCCUGCCAGAUGAUUCUGCAGGCCCUAUUAAGGAAAGACUUAGUCCUCCUCUACUCUCAGCUAAGAUGAUUCAUUUUACAUAAGGGAAGUAUUGUACAGAAGUUAUUAAGCAGAUGGUGGCCUGUGAAAUGUCAAAAGUAGGCUGCAUUUAGCUAUAGGUACAGAAAGCUACUCUGAAAAUAUAGUUGACCAAGCUACCAAUUACUUCACACAGGAAGAAGUUAACCUACACUACAGCUACCCUUAAGAAAGUUACUUUGAAAAGUAGUUCACUACAUUCACACUACUUUUUGAAAAAUGAUCAUAUCUAAAUCUGAAAUGACAUAGACUACAAAUUGUAAGUCAGAUGUUAAUUUAUCCUAUUAAACCAAAACAAUGUUUUAGGUGAGAAUUACACAGGUCUGAUACUGAAAAAGAAAGGAAAAUAUUGCUUACUUCACCAGUAAUUUAAUUUAGCAAAAAAAUAGUGUGUAAUUCCAAUAGUUAGCUACACUGCUACAUGGCAAAGAAGAAAUUAACUACUGAAAACACUACCAAGAUUUGAAUUUGGUUAAACUACCACCAAGCUACUGCAAAACGUUGUUAAAUUACUAGUAACAUAACAUGUAGUUCACUACUCCCCAAUACUGUUACAGGUAUAACUGCACAGAUUCAUGUGACUUCAGCAAAGACUAUAUUCACAUGCAUUUAAGACAAUAACUACUAUUUAUGUUAAUAGCCAAUUGUUCAAAACGCGUCUUUCUUUCAGUUGGUUUCCUUGUACUUUGCUGGUUCUGACAAAGCAGAGGAAGAAAGGGCCACACUAUCCUCCCAUCAUUCCAGCACCUUUCAUCCACAGGGCCUGACUUUUUUGUUGUUGUUGAUCUGUGGUACAGAUAGCAUUGAGAGAAGCAUUCAAUUGAAAUGCAAAAGAAAUGCAAUUUCCUGAAGCUAAAAAAGUCCCUUCAAUAAUGUGAAGCAGUGUCUUGGAGAUGCCUUAUUGUUAAGGCAAGCAUUUCGUGCCUAAUCCUCGUUCUAAUGCUUCUUCUGUCAAGCAAUUACAAUGGCUGUUGAGUACAAAGGGAAAGACUUCCCUGCGUCACGCACAGCGAUCCGCUCUGAAGACAGCGAAUGUUCAAUCCGAGUGCCUGGCCCACACCACUCAGAUCAAAGCCCCGAUAGGUCGCUGGCACAUUCUGCAAAAUAUUUGCUUGAUAAAAGCUGGCAGAUUUGCCAUAUAACAACAUAAUAAGAAAAAUACCCACAUAAGGAAGUGGUAAGACCCUCUCUUCCAGCUCGGACUCCUCUGGAUGCAAAAGGCAAUAUCGUAACAUGAUGAAGUAGGUCAUGAAAAUGGAAGACAGAUGUGAUAUAUUUCCUUGAGUCCUGGACACAGGGAAUCCACGACUUAAUGUUUAAUGCCAUGAUAAAAAUGUGCAUUUAUUGAUCUAGAAGCAGGAAAUCAGAUCGCAUGAGAUGUGCUCCUCGGUGAUGGAAGUUCAGACCUUUUUUAUUUGAAAGUUUAAAGUUUCGUUGUGGUCCUCUUGCAUGGCUAGAAUUGAAGGCUAACAUAUUGGUAUGCAUACAAAAGGUCCCGUUUGGCAGCAGCGAACAGUCAAUUUAUUCUUAAAAAUGUCAAAAGAGAAUCAGUACCUGUUGAGCACUCAUAGUAAGUGGCUUAUACUGUAUUUACUCUUAUUGGCUAUUGACCAUAACAUCCUUAUGUCAUUACCGAAUGCAAUCUGUCAUCCUCUGUCCUCAACUUGUAAUGCUUUGCUAAUAAUCCCUGGAUUAAUAAUGGAGUUAUCAGUGGUACAUAAACACCUGUUGUAACGAUUCUCGUCGUAGGUGGAAGAAGGAGAGGACCAAAGCGCAGCGGGGUUAGUGUUCAUCUUAUUUAAUAAUAAUCAAAACUGAACAACAAAUACACAAACGAAACAGUUCUGUCUGGUGCAGACACACAAAGACUGAAAAUAACCACCCACAAAACACAAUA